Molecule: ribosomal RNA, 492 nt
Filed under: uncultured bacterium
Lineage: Bacteria
Description: partial 16S ribosomal RNA
Rfam family: Bacterial small subunit ribosomal RNA
Source: RNAcentral
AGUGAACGCUGGCGGUAGGCCUAACACAUGCAAGUCGAACGGCAGCACAGUAAGAGCUUGCUCUUACGGGUGGCGAGUGGCGGACGGGUGAGGAAUACAUCGGAAUCUACUUUUUCGUGGGGGAUAACGUAGGGAAACUUACGCUAAUACCGCAUACGACCUACGGGUGAAAGCAGGGGAUCUUCGGACCUUGCGCGAUUGAAUGAGCCGAUGUCGGAUUAGCUAGUUGGCGGGGUAAAGGCCCACCAAGGCGACGAUCCGUAGCUGGUCUGAGAGGAUGAUCAGCCACACUGGAAGUGAGACACGGUACAGACUCCUACGGGAGGCAGCAGUGGGGAAUAUUGGACAAUGGGCGCAAGCCUGAUCCAGCCAUACCGCGUGGGUGAAGAAGGCCUUCGGGUUGUAAAGCCCUUUUGUUGGGAAAGAAAAGCAGUAGGUUAAUACCCCGCUGUUCUGACGGUACCCAAAGAAUAAGCACCGGCUAACUUCGUG